GAGGAGCGAUUUUCCCCCUUGCAGACAAAUCCCUAGCGAAGAGAAGUUCGCUCGUUCGCCCUCCAGGGAACGAGCGAGCUAACACAAUCAGCGAGUGAAUCGCGCGAAGUAGAAGCAUUCGUCUGAUCGCAAAUCGAAGGGAAGGCUGCCUGACCGCGAGCGAAGGCAUGUCAGUAAGCGCGAGCGAGUCGAGCGAGCUUGGUCGGCGAUUCGACCGAGAGUUGAAGACCGGUGCCAGCGAGCAAGCGAGAGCGAGCCAUGCCAACGCGCGAGUUGAAG
This 279-nucleotide long non-coding RNA is filed under the name Zostera marina. RNAcentral's name for it is "long non-coding RNA (ZMAR_LNC003211)". The record is from RNAcentral. Lineage: Eukaryota; Viridiplantae; Streptophyta; Magnoliopsida; Alismatales; Zosteraceae.